UUUCAGACUCCAUUAUGAAUUUACCAGUCGGAGUUGUUCUUUUUCAAUACUGUUUAAGGUGAACAGCUUUUACUUCUCAUGUCCUUUCAACACAAUUGUACUUCUUUCCAAAUGCAGCGUAGCUAUGACCCAAUUUAUAGCCCUAGGUAAUUUUUGUGGUAUUACAGUUCUCUUCCAAGAACACACAGGCUCAUGAGUUUUUAUUUUAUACGUGUUUCCUCACAUUAGCAUGCAGCUCUGUUAGAAUCACAUAAUUUCUGCACUUGUUUUUUGUGCUCUCAUGUUUACAUUGGAGACAGUUCAAACUUCUGCAGUCAUCGUUGGUGUCCCAAGAGAUGGAGGACUUCCCACAUAACCAAAGCCAGCUGACUUGUUAGAUCUGAAAGAGAAAUCCACAUUAUGAUACAAAAAUUUGGACCCUAACAUGAAGAUCUGAUGAUACACUACACAAUACAGAAAGGAAUCUGUCUUUACAGAGCUACACUCUGAGGAAGGAGACAUGAAAUUCCAUGAACUGCUAGCUCUUCAUUCAAGCCUGGAAUGCCAUUGUCCAUUACCUGAAAACUUGUCUCAAGAGACUUAACAAGAGAGCGAAGCUCUAAAAAUCCGUCUGCACAAAGCACCAGGCAGUGUGCAGCAGGAGACAACUCUGCUGCGCUUGGACUUGACACGCAACCUUUUCCCUCUUUGACUUCUGUUAUUUUAGGACAGUAAUCUGCUACACUCAGACCGCUGUCCUUGGCAGAGACUGAAGCACAGCUAACACAGUGAUGUCCUUGCUUAUAACUUGUAACACAGGGUAGGAAUGACAACUCAGAGCCUAGAUUAUGUGGAGCUCACUGCAAAAAAUAAUAUCCUUUUCUCUCAUUUUCUCCUCUCUGCCUCAAAGCAUUUGGCAUCAGCCUCAGCUUUUCUUGAUUGUGAGUACUGAAUGUGUCAGAGGUAAGAGAAAGCUCAGCCUGAUAGUGAUAUCUGAAAUGUUUUUCCUUUCCUCUGGAAAAAGGUUAAACUUUGGCAUAGAAACAGCACUGUGGAGCCCUUGCUUCAGUAAGAGCUUCUGUAAGUUUCUACAAGUAGCUGUUCUUUAGCAUGGCUGAUACCAGUCAGAAUGUAGUAUGAUUAGGAAAGUCAUGGGUUGCAUUGUGUGUGAAUAAAAUACAAGUGUACUUGCAAUGUGCUCACUUACA
This is a long non-coding RNA of Gallus gallus (chicken), 1187 nucleotides long. NCBI's taxonomy places the organism in Eukaryota, Metazoa, Chordata, Aves, Galliformes, Phasianidae. The record is from Ensembl.